GAUGAACGCUGGCGGCGUGCUUAACACAUGCAAGUCGAACGAAGCACUUUAUUUGAUUUCCCUCGGGACUGAUUAUUUUGUGACUGAGUGGCGGACGGGUGAGUAACGCGUGGGUAACCUGCCUUGUACAGGGGGAUAACAGUUGGAAACGGCUGCUAAUACCGCAUAAGCGCACAGCAUCGCAUGAUGCAGUGUGAAAAACUCCGGUGGUAUAAGAUGGACCCGCGUUGGAUUAGCUAGUUGGUGAGGUAACGGCCCACCAAGGCGACGAUCCAUAGCCGACCUGAGAGGGUGACCGGCCACAUUGGGACUGAGACACGGCCCAAACUCCUACGGGAGGCAGCAGUGGGGAAUAUUGCACAAUGGGCGAAAGCCUGAUGCAGCGACGCCGCGUGAGCGAAGAAGUAUUUCGGUAUGUAAAGCUCUAUCAGCAGGGAAGAUAAUGACGGUACCUGACUAAGAAGCACCGGCUAAAUACGUG
This 481-nucleotide ribosomal RNA is filed under the name uncultured bacterium. RNAcentral's name for it is "partial 16S ribosomal RNA". It matches the Rfam family "Bacterial small subunit ribosomal RNA", at positions 28 to 507 of the family's 1533-position model. The record is from RNAcentral.